This is a long non-coding RNA of Trifolium pratense (red clover), 240 nucleotides long. RefSeq lists it as uncharacterized. The record is from RefSeq and is a predicted model, not a curated record. The transcript has 3 exons. Lineage: Eukaryota; Viridiplantae; Streptophyta; Magnoliopsida; Fabales; Fabaceae.
CAAGGGGACAACGGAGUUCUGCAAGAAUUAGAAUUGAAGCCUUCAAAACUCUGAGGGUGUUGGUUGCUAAGAAAGGAGGGAAUAAUAUCCCUGGAAAGGACAGCAAAAAUGUAAAAAAGUGCAAUCAAGCUUUUUGCUCUCUAAGCAAAUUUUAUAGGAAGGUUCCAAAUUCCAAUAAAGAAACCAUGCUAAGGGAGGACCAAAGAGAAGGUUGGUUCUGCAGAUGCGUUAAUAACAUUC